UGGUCAAUGGACGAGAGUCUGAACCAGCCAAGUCGCGUGAGGGAUGACUGCCCUAUGGGUUGUAAACCUCUUUUAUAAGGGAAGAAUAAGUUCUACGUGUAGAAUGAUGCCUGUACCUUAUGAAUAAGCAUCGGCUAACUCCGUGCCAGCAGCCGCGGGAAUACGGAGGAUGCGAGCGUUAUCCGGAUUUAUUGGGUUUAAAGGGUGCGUAGGCGGUUUAUUAAGUUAGUGGUUAAAUAUUUGAGCUAAACUCAAUUGUGCCAUUAAUACUGGUAAACUGGAGUACAGACGAGGUAGGCGGAAUAAGUUAAGUAGCGGUGAAAUGCAUAGAUAUAACUUAGAACUCCGAUUGCGAAGGCAGCUUACCAGACUGUAACUGACGCUGAUGCACGAAAGCGUGGGUAGCGAACAGGAUUAGAUACCCUGGUAGUCCACGCCGUAAACGAUGAUCACUGGUUCUGUGCGAUAUAUUGUACGGGAUUAAGCGAAAGUAUUAAGUGAGCCACCUGGGGAGUACGUCGGCAACGAUGAAACUCAAAGGAAUUGACGGGGGCCCGCACAAGCGGAGGAACAUGUGGUUUAAUUCGAUGAUACGCGAGGAACCUUACCUGGGUUUAAAUGGGAAAUGUCGUAUUUGGAAACAGAUAUUCUCUUCGGAGCGUUUUUCAAGGUGCUGCAUGGUUGUCGUCAGCUCGUGCCGUGAGGUGUCGGGUUAAGUCCCAUAACGAGCGCAACCCUUACCGUUAGUUGCUAGCAUGUAAUGAUGAGCACUCUAACGGGACUGCCACCGUAAGGU
RNAcentral lists this ribosomal RNA (796 nucleotides) under human gut metagenome. RNAcentral describes it as "bacterial SSU rRNA". It matches the Rfam family "Bacterial small subunit ribosomal RNA", at positions 365 to 1164 of the family's 1533-position model. The record is from RNAcentral.